RNAcentral lists this ribosomal RNA (301 nucleotides) under uncultured bacterium. RNAcentral's name for it is "partial 16S ribosomal RNA". It matches the Rfam family "Bacterial small subunit ribosomal RNA", at positions 509 to 807 of the family's 1533-position model. The record is from RNAcentral.
CAGUCGCCGCGGGAAUACGAAGGGUGCAAGCGUUACUCGGAAUUACUGGGCGUAAAGCGUGCGUAGGUGGUGGUUUAAGUCCGUUGUGAAAGCCCUGGGCUCAACCUGGGAAUUGCAGUGGAUACUGGGUCACUAGAGUGUGGUAGAGGAUAGUGGAAUUUCCGGUGUAGCAGUGAAAUGCGUAGAGAUCGGAAGGAACAUCUGUGGCGAAGGCGACUAUCUGGGCCAACACUGACACUGAGGCACGAAGGCGUGGGGAGCAAACAGGAUUAGAUACCCCGGUAGUCCCUGUCUCUUAUAC